This 1043-nucleotide long non-coding RNA is filed under the name Prunus persica (peach). RNAcentral's name for it is "long non-coding RNA (PPER_LNC001435)". Lineage: Eukaryota; Viridiplantae; Streptophyta; Magnoliopsida; Rosales; Rosaceae. The record is from RNAcentral.
GGGGAUCUCUAGCAUCUCUCUUUUUAUGUCACGCUAUGAUAUUCUUAACUUUGGCCCUUACGGAGUAGACAAACUCUCUGACUCCAAACGCCCACAGUACACAAAACAAAACGCCCCACACCAAAAUCUUUUUUGCGAUUUUAAAAUCUGCCACAAUUCGCAUUGUUGCCCAAAAGAUAAACGAUAAGGCAAGAGGAAAAUGAGAAUCCUAGGCACAAAAUAAUUAACUUCUUCACGUACCUCUUUUGAAGAAGAAGCUCAGAAAUUGAUCCCAAUUCCGAUAACCUUUUCCAACCAUGAAAAGAUUAAAAAAAGAACUACAAAUAUAAUUUUAUUUCGUAAUAAAGUAGUGUAGUUGUUUACAGCUUAAAGAAAAAGGUUAUGCGAUUAUUUAAUUACCAAGUUAAUUAUUAUGCUGGUUUAUGUAUUGCUUGCUUGUCGUUUAUUGCCCCGCUUUUAAAAAAAAUAAUAAAAAAAAUAAUAAUAAAUAAAAAAGGGGCCAUGGUUAGAAAGAACUUAGACCUCUCUUUCAUUUCCAAUAUUCUUUCAUUUGAUAGAUAGGUUAAAAUUCAAGCUUAAAAGCGAGUAUAAAGAUAAAGGAAAAAGACUAAUCAUAAGGGUCAAAUUUAUUAUUACAAAUAACUCCAAGAAAAAAGAAAUUAUUACAAAUGACCUUAGUUGUGAUUGAUUAUUAAUCUACCCUACUAGAUAUAUGAAAAUGAAAUAAAGGGUUGUUUCGAUGGAACCAACAUUUUUGUCCUCGUCAAGGAGCCAAGUUUACGAAAAUGAGUAAAACUCUAUCUAUUUGUUGUGAGGAGAAGGGUAGAUGGUUAUUUGGUCUUUUAAAGUGAAAAAGAUGAUGAAGCAAGUCUUUUUGUUCUCAUUUGGUAUAUGAUUAAAGUGCGUGACCCAGUAUAAAUAGCAACUUGUUGUCGUUUUGACAGUUCAUUAUGUGUCAAUUAUGAUCCUACUUGAGUUGGAAGCAACCAUGCAAAAUUGGGACAAGACAAGUUAAUUUUUCUGGUUUGUCAUAUAUAGCUGCC